This 347-nucleotide long non-coding RNA is filed under the name Hordeum vulgare. Its description in RNAcentral is "long non-coding RNA (HVUL_LNC012413)". The record is from RNAcentral. Lineage: Eukaryota; Viridiplantae; Streptophyta; Magnoliopsida; Poales; Poaceae.
UAGUGACCCUAUAGGCAUUCUGACUGGGAAGAGUCCUAGCUCGCACGUACGUCACCAAGGCAUUGUUCGUCAUAUCAUGGUGUUUCAUGCAUGGCCAAUAAAAUAACAAGUGACAGGCCAAUGAAUACUUUGAAUUUACUCGCAAGCAACCCAUGUUUGGAAUCAAGGUAAUAAUUAUGCAUGAUGUGGCACUAAGUAUGUAAGUUGAAGAAAGCUAAUUUUGAGUGCAAUGUCAUGUCCAAAUCAUCUUGUAAAGCAUGCAUGAACAGGUUGCGAACAUCCAUACGAACAAGUUACAGAUAUCAUCAUAAGCAUGGAUUGAACAUCUCAUGUUAGUUCAUCAUGUC